CAUCCUGCCCUUCUCUAGGGAGCUGUGGCCAUAAUGAGUGGUUUUGUUUGCAGUUGGCACCAGGCUCAGGGCUCUGAAUAUAUUUCCUUGGGAAGUAUAUCCUGAGACACUGUGGGAUCCUCCUUGGCUUCUUGCCAGGCUUUGAAAGAGUUUAUUGACGUGUCUCUUGCACUGCCUCCUCUUCUGUUUAAUGCCUCUUUGCUUGUGUGUCUAACUGCUCCUACUACUUUUUCUAUUUUUGUACACUUUUCAUACUUCAUAGCAGCCUUGUGACAGAGAUAAAACAAGACCAACAAUAUCACUUAAACUGUGGCUGACCAAUUGGUAGCCCCAAUAUGUAAACAUUAUCGAGACUCAAUAGAAAUUUCUUCAGUUGUAUGGAUAUUUCUAUGUUUGAAAAAAUGCACAAUGUCACAUUGAGCCCAAUUAAACUUGCAAGCCCCUUGUAGCUGUCACAGCAGCUGUUCUGAUGUACUGUUUCCGACAGCUGUCGUGGAGUACAAUAUUCAAACAAAUCAAGCAGAACUGACAACUUUGUGGCUGGGUGGAGGGCCUGGAAGUGGGAAAAGAAUUCUAUGCAAUGCAGACACUGAAGAUUCAGAUUCUGGACUCAAUUUAUGAAACUAAGAUUGUGGUUAAUUAGCUUGCCAACUAAUGAGAUGAUCAUAUCUUCUUCCUAACUAGCAAUAAUUAGUUCUACACUGUUUACAUGAUUCUUUCCUCAUGCAGAAUACUCUAUGGUGUUCACAAGACAAUAGUGGCCAUUCCUGGCUCUUACGGCCAUGUCAAUUUCUUCAGGAGUAUAGUUCAUAUGUGAUUUGGAUGUUCUCUUGGGGAGUCCCCUGUUGUGAUUAACAUGUAUAACAUCUGCAGUCAUUAACAUUUCCCUCCACUGGCUGUCCCAGGGAGAUUAAAUUUGAUUCAUGUUAAGAAUAUAUCAAAGACAAAGAUCCUAUGUCAUCUUAGCACUUUCUUAUUAAUUGUGUCUUGACAAGAAUUCCCUCACUAACUGCCAAGUGCUUCAUUUAAAUAGGGAUCUAUUUUCUAAAGGAAUCUUUCAGGGAGGAAAAAAAUAAUGGUAUUAAUUGAAUGCAUGUGGAGCAUGCAUGUUCUAAGCACAACAUUCUGUGGUUAAUAAAUACAUAUAUAGCGUGUGCUAAUUAGCACUUGGGAGUAUUGGUUUAAGGUUAAGCCAAGGAAUUUCUAAUACCAUGCCAGGAAAUAAUUAAUUGGGGGAAAGAUCCAAAUGUAAGGUAUUGUUAUUUUAAAGGCAUUUAUGUCAAGACUUAUUUCAAAAAUCUAAAUUUACUUUAUUGGAAAACAAUUGAAUGUAUAGCUUUUUGGAUUCUGUUUUGGCCAAAGUCCAGAAGUAACUGUUUUCACCAUUGUUCGAUUUUGGCAAAAGCAUAUCAAGACCCUAGGUACCCUCCUAAAUAUCUGAUCAAAGCUGUAUAUUUUAAUGAACCUUACUAGUUAUAUAUCUGAGAAAUCAUCCUUGCAGACGGAAAAGUCCUCUUCUUUGGAGAAGCUAUGGUUUUGCUUAAUGCUGUGGUGGAAAGUGGCAGACAGAUGUCAAGAAUUUAGGAGCAACUAUUGCUGAGAUUAUGUUUCUCUGCCACAGAUGGCAUUUCUCUCCACCCCUCCUGCCUACACCCUUCUUUUUCUCCUUCUUACACUUUAUCCCGGAUCUGAUAUGACUGUGCCAGUUUGCUGUCUACUGCUGUGAUGGAAUAUCCAAUGCAAGUUGGACAAGAAAGUGAUUAUCUUAUCUCACAAAGUGCAGUGUCAUGCAGGAAAGUAAGGGCAGGAAAUCAAGGCAAGAACCUGGAGGCAGGAACUGAAGCAGAGACCAUGGUGGGGUGUUGCUUACACUCGUGAUGUCCACAGCUUACUCUCUUGCUUUUUUUAUACAACACAGGAACACCUCCCCAGAGGUGGCACCACUCAGUAGGCUGGGCAUUCAAACAUCAAUCAUUAACCAAGAACAUGCUUAAUAGGCUCUCCUGCAUGCCAUUCUGAUUGAGGCAUUUUCUCAAUUGAAGGUCUGUAUGUCCAGUGAAUUCCAGUUUGUGUAAUGUUAACAAAACAAACAAACAAACGAAAAUCUAGAUUAUAUCCAGAUUAUAUCUCAUUAUAUUAUGCCGUUUUUCUAAAAUCAUUUGAAAAAUAUGGAACCAUGUAAUAGUCAAGAAUAACUGGUUUCAUCUCCUUGUAAAGAUGAUAUUGUCAAGCUCUCAUUAUUCAGGUUGUGGGUUCAUCUUCUAAUUUCAUUAGAACAUAAUGACACACUCUUUCCCCUUUUUUCUAUGUUUCACGUUGAUCCAAGUUAUUGAGUUAUGAUUCAAAAUUUAAUAUUGACUUGCCAUGCACAUUUGAGAAAUCUGAAAAACUUGAUUUUUCUUUUGUAGCAAAAGAUGAUUUGUGAUUGGGAAAUGUGAAGAAGGCCCUGUUGGUUACUACACUAGUUUACAGCCAGUUUAAUCCCUUUGAAAUAAUUAUCUUGAAAGAGCCUGCAUUCAAUCUGGUAACGGGUGGUGGAAAAGGCCAUAGCUAAGUGGUGUUACAUUAAGGAGAACUCUUGGAGUCUUAGAUCAAAUAUACGUUAAGAAAUUUCCCUUAGGAAAUUAUAGUCUUUGCUAUUGCUAGUUUAAAGUGUCCUGCUGGACCACAUGAUUUCUUUAAAAGGCUAUAUUUGUGGUUGUUUUUACUCUUAGUCUUGAGUGCUCUGGGUGAUUUUGCUAGUUAUUUUUAUAAGAGCGUUUACAUGAGAGAACUGUGGUCCAAGAGUCAAGUUCGACUUUUGUUGAAGAAUGGUGAGUAGCUCUUUGAGCCAGUCUCUCUGUCUUCACCCCCACACCACACCACACAGAAUUUAGACAUAAAUUUAUACUUUAAUAUUUUAACUCCAGCACAAACCUCUUUUCUUUUGUCUGAGAUAUUCCUUGUAUUUGGUGUUCAGUUAUCUGUCUGUUUCUUUUUUCCCCAUACUACCCAGCCCCUUAAAAAAUAUCAUGUACAUACCAAGAAACAGCUCUUGGCAUCUUUUGGUUGAAUGAAUUUCACCUUACAUUUUGGCUACUAUAACUGGCUCUGAGCCUUUACCAGUCCUUUGAUAGAAACAUAAACUUUCACACUUAGGUCCUGAAAUGGUUUCAUUCCUCUAUUCGCAGUUGCCUUUUUGCCAUGUUUUCAUCUUAAGUUGUAUGUCUUCCUCAUUUUCUUUCCUUGCUGAAGCAAGCACCUUGCUGAUGUCACCACAAACACGGUAUUUUUCUUGUGGAUGAAAGCUCUGACUUCCUGCUCUUUGAGGAUGUUCCAUGGAUUUCUUUAAGCUUUUUAAAAUCCCUUUCAUUGCAGUGGAUGGAUUGGCACCUCUGCUGUAAUGUCCACUAGAGUGUGACUUUGAUUUCUGGCUAUCACUUCACUAAAUCAUAUACUUUACCUUCAGUCCUGUUGUUUUUGGAAUGUGGAUGAUGACAAUAACAGAUGCCGGUGAUAAUAGAAUUUCUAGUACUUGAGUGCCGUGAGGAUUAAAGGAAUUGAAGUAAAACCCAGACCAGCCAGUGACAUGGGCUGGGUGUUUAAGAAAUGGUUCUGUUAUCUUCAACAGCCAUUUUUCCAAGCACUUGCCUUAGGUCCCCUGCUGAAAUUCUUCAUUUUACCUGGAGACUAUAAACUUUGGGUGACAGAGAAGCCAGGCCUCUUGCUUUCUGUUAAAUUUGCUACCCUGCUUUCUGAGAAAUCCUAUACAUACGAGAUCCUUAUAAAUCUUUGCCUCGGGAAUUAAACUCAAAAUCAGAAGUAUGCAAUGUGUUCUUUAGGAAGUCUUUUCAAAGGAGCUCAUCUAUAGACUCGCUAGAAGUCACGUGGCUCGAGUGGAAUGAGUAUCAGAUGCUCCACCUGUCCCCUUCAUUGUUCAUGGUAAUGCAUUUCCUUGAGCUGCCUGGAGCAAAGAACUGGAGAUACUUUCUGUACACACACAAAGUAUCACAUGGCCAAUGGCCCACAAAGAAGAUUGGCAUCAGCGUGCGGAGGCAAAGAGUAAACGGCCAUUAAUAUGGUAAGAAGUAUUGUACAAUAGCAACAACAGUAGCAACAACAACAGCAGCAGCAGCAGCAACAAGAACACAAGCCACUCAAAGAGACAAAAGUCUUAAAGAGACAGAGUAGCUGAUGAAUGUUCGCGUUUCCAGAGGCUCUGGAGACUUCUUCCCACUGGAGUUGGGAGAGGACUGGCAACUUUCCUGGCACUCAGUUGGCCACUUUCUAGGAGGCACUUCCACUCUGCACAAGGAACAUUAAUUUCUUAUUGAAAUAUCUUCUUAUUUUAGGUUAUGAUUGUUCUCUCUCCCAGUCUCCGAAGUUAUGUGCACAUCCUUUUAAAAGUAGUUGCUUCUGGUAAUGAAAAUAUUACAACGUUUAAUUAGCCUGAUGACAGUAAGGGAACUGGAGUCUGCAGCAUAUUCUUGGAUUAUACAUUUGAAUUGUGUGAAUUAAAGGAUGGGCAAAUUAGUUUUAAAAUGUUAAAUGAAAAGAAGAAGGUUGAUUUUAACUCCAGUUGUAGGGCUAAGGUCCUUUUGGUCAGUACAAACUGAAGGUAGAGAUGUUGGUGUUUUAGGUGAGGCAGGUUGAGAGAGCUGUUGGGGAAGUCUGCUUUCCUUUCUCUGAAUUGACUGAGGUGUGCUGAUCUAGGAGUGCUGGUUCUCCUCAUUCCUUCCUUCCUUCUUUAAUCUUAAAGUGGCUGCAUUAGCUACAACCAGCUGUCUGAAGCAAGGAACACACCCCAGCUGUUCUGCUGGUCCUGGGCUCCAUUGUGGCGGUUCUGGAGAUUUCAGAAUUAAUAGCUCUCUGCAGACCUAGUAAGGUUAAGAUUGUGUUGCAAAGCCAACACGUGUGUAUACUUCAGAGCACUUGAUUGAGUGCGUAGGGAUUUGCUUUAAAAAAGAAACAACCAAGUUUAACUUCCCAUUAUCACUGUUGACUGUCUGUGUUGAGGCCCCAAGUGUGAAGGGUACAGCAAUGUCUAAGAUUUUGCUAGGGUUUUACUUGUUAUAGCCUCUUGGCAUGUAAUUAGGGCUGUUUAUGAUUUCCUGAUGUUAUUCCCUUUUUUGGUUUUAGUUUCCUUAAUUUUCUUUAUUCAGACACUAUGUGCCUGACCUAUUUCAAAUAAUGACAACUUCAAAGGCAGCUGUGCCUCCUACCACUCCCAAACAUAUGUGCUUUGGUUGCUUAAAAUGUUCCAAUCCGGGGGCUGGGGAUUUAGCUUGGUGGUAGAGCGCUUACCUAGGAAGCGCAAGGUCCUGGGUUUGGUCCCCAGCUCCGAAAAAAUAGAACAAAAAAAAAAAAGAUGUUCCAAUCCAGAAUCCACCUUUCUUUUGACUAUUGGUUAAAAGUGUGUGUGUGUGUGUGUGUGUGUGUGUGUGUGUGUGUGUGUCACAGAGAGAGACAAAGAGAGACAGAGAAGGGGCAGGUGAAGAAAUGGGACAGACCUCUCUAUCUGUAUGUAUACCUUAUACCCCAGACAUGUACAAGUACCAGAAGAGGGUGUUGGAUUCUCUGGAACUGGAGUUACCAAUCGUUGUGAACUGCCUGAUGUGGGUGUUGGGAUUCAACCCAGGUCUUCUUCUAGAGUGUUCUUUACCUUUGGGGCACCUGUCCAACUCAAAGCAUCAUCUUCAAGUGAAGAAUCACGAGGAAAAAGACUAGGGAUUGAAGAAAAUUCUCCUUUUGGACAAGUUAACUGACUUACACGUUUGUAUUUUUUCUCUUAGCUUCUUUUGUUCCGUUUCUAUUGUGUAUGUGCGUACACACAAUGUCUGGAACAUAGAAUAUAGAGGGGUGUACAGUGACUGAAAUAUGACUCUAUGCUUGCAUAUUACAGUCUGUCGUCAAAUUCACAUAUUAACACAUUUUACUUGAGUUUAGGUGUUUUUAUUUAAACUCAUCUUUAUCACAAUAUCUGUUGAAAUUUUUAACUAAAGAAAUAGUUUAAAAUUGUGAGUGAAGUUCAGUACAUUUUUAUGGAAGAUACUCAGUGUAAAUUGGUUUUACAAUACAAGCUAUAGAUGCAUGCUGUAAUUUGAGAUUGGUUUCUGUUAGAAUCAUAGUUUAGUAUUAUGGCAAUCGAUUAUAAUAACUACUAUUAUUAUUAAGUCAGCCACUAAAAUAUGCAAGUGCUUCUAUGUUCUAUGUAGUAAACUAGUACUAAAACAUUAAUUUUGUACUGAAAAUACAGCAAAUAUUAUCAUAUUUGUACCUCCCCCCCUCUCUGUGUGUGUGAAUGAAUAACAAAUCUAUUAAAUACGUUUAAAAAUUGGUCUUUUUCUUAUUGAAUAAAUGUUUAUGAUGAAUAUAAAGUAAUAAAAAUUAAAAUGCUUUUGCUUAUUACCAAAGUGACUGUUUAAACUUUUAGUGAUUUCAGAUGACAAAGAGCCUGUUAUGUCUAUUUGUAUUAAAAAGAUAAAUUUUUAUCGCCAUAUAUAAUUAGUAAUUUGUCAGCACAUGUCUUCGGCGUGCCCUCAAAAAGCAAGAUUCAGGUUCUUGUUAAAAUAUAGCUUCUGUCCCAUUGGAAUAUGGUAGGAGUACAAGAUGUGAUUAUAGACAAAAAGUGAAUGCGGAUUGAGAUUUUAGGGAAGGGAAAGCACUUUAAGCAUCAUAAAAAGUGGGAACCUAGGGAGUAUAGGAUCUGCACACAUAGUAAGAUCCCUUUCAGUUCAGGACAGCCCCGAACUAACAAUGGGGAGGAGCCAAUUCUGAAAAAGGUAGAUUUUUAAAGGUUUAAAGGCAAGAAGAAGGAAUCUAUUUGGCUCAAAAGACAGAAUGAAUUCAGGCUUCUAAGACACAACAGGUUCACAGGGCCAGGUUUAUAGACAGGGAGGAGCCAGAGCUGGAAGUUCUGCAAGGAGGAUCUUGCACUAUGCAAGUAUGUAGGGAAACAGAAAUUCUCUGAGAAUAUCUUGGCUACAGUGCUACUGUCCUCUACUGAAACUAAAUAUCUUCAUGAUAAUGGCCUCCCAACGAAGUUAGGAUCUCUUUGACCAAGUAGCUUAGCUGAAAUUUCCGUUGUAUUAGUUAUUGUAUAUUAGAACAUUAAGGCUUUUAUUUAGCAGAAAUGAUUUUUUGUUUAGAUUUAUUUAUGUAUUUAUUUUUUUAGUUUCUUUUUACACUCCAGAUUUUAUUCCCCUCCCUGUCCAUCCCCGAGAGUUUCAGAUCCCAUACCUCCUCCCCACCCCGCCAUUCCCCUCCACCCCGUCCUCACAAGGAUGUUCCCACCUCACCCACCCUACUAAACUUCCUGAGGCCUAUAGUCUCUUGAGGGUUAGGUGCAUCUUUUCUAACUGAACCCAGAUCUGGGAUUUCUCCACUGUAUAUGUGUUGGAGGCCUCAUCUCCGCUAGUAUAUGCUGCCUGGUUGGGGAUCCAGUGUCUAAGAGAUUUCAGGGUUCCAGCUUAAUUGAGACUACUGGUUCUCCUACAGGGUUGUCCUCCUUAGCUUCCUCCAGCUUUUCCCUAAUUUAACCAGAAGGAUCAGCAGCGUCUGUUCAUUGUUUGGGGGUACAUAUCUACAUCUGACUUUCAGCUGUUUGUUGGGUCUUUUGGAGAGCAGUCAUGGUAUGUGCCUUUUUGUGAUUGCCGCAUAGCUUCAGUAAUAGUGUCAGGUCUUGGGGCCUCCCCUUGAGCUGGAUCCCACUUUGGGCUUGUUGCUGGACCUUCUUUUCCUCAGGCUCUUCUCCAUUUCCAUCCCUGCAUUUCUUUCAGACAGGAAGAAUUAUGAGUCAGAGUUUUGGCUGUGUGAUGGCAACCCCAUCCCUCACUUGAUGCCCUGUCUUUCUGCUGGAGGUAAAACUUCAAUAAGUUGCCUCUCCCCACUGUAGGACAUUUCAUCUAUGGUCCCCACCCCCUUGAGUACUGAGAGUCUCUCACUUCCCAGGUCUCUGAUACAUUCUGAAGGGUUCUCCAACCUCCUUCUUCCCGAGGUUGCCUGUUUCCUUUCUUUCUGCUGGCCUCUAGGGCUUCAGUCCUUUUCCCCAACCCCAAACCAGAUCAUGUUCCCUUCUUCCCCCAUCCCCAUCCCCAUUUCUCUACCCUGUCCCUCCCUUCUUCUCUCCCCCCUUGUGGUUGCUUUCUUCUCCCUCCCAAGUGGAACUGAGGAGACUUCACUUGGGUCCUUCAGCUUGUUGAAUGUUUUGAGUUCUGUGGACUGUAUCUUGGGUAUUCUGUACUUUUUGGGGAGCUAAUAUCCAUUUAUUAGUGAGAACAUACAGUGCAUGUCCUUUUGGGUUUGAGUUAUCUCACUCAGGAUGACAUUUUCUAGUUCCAUCCAUUUGCCUAUAAAACUCAGGAUGUCCUCAUUCCUAAUAGCUGAGUAGUAUUCCACUGUGUAAAUGUACCAUAUUUUCUGUAUCCAUUCUUCUGUCGUGGGACAUCUGGGUUCUUUCUAGCUUCUGGCUAUCACAAAUAAGGCCGCUAUGAACAUGUGCCCCUGUGGCAUGGUGGGGCAUCUUUGUGGUAUAGUCCCAAGAGUGGUAUUUCUGGGUCUUUAUGUAGGUCUAUUUCCAAUUUUCUGAGGAACCUCCAAAUUGAUUUCCAGAGUGGUUGUACCAGUUUGCAAUCCCACCAGCAAUGGAGGAGUGUUCCUCUUUCUCCACAUCCUCACCAGCAUCUGCUGUCACCUGAAGUUUUGAUCUUCGCCAUUCUCACUGGUGUGAGGUGGAAUCUCAGGGUUGUUUUGAUUUGCAUUUCUCUGAUUGUUAAGGACUUUAAAUAUUUCUUUAGGUACUUCUCAGCCAUUCAAGAUUCCUCUAUUGUGAAUUCUUUGUUUAGUUCUAUACCCUAUUUUUUGAUUUGGUUGUUUGGGUUUUUGGUGGUAAGCUACUUGAGUUCUUUAUAUAUUUUGGAUAUUAACCCUCUAUCAGAUGUGGGAUUAGUGAAGAUUUUUCCCUAAUUUGCCAGAGGCUGACUUUUAUUUCUGGCUAGUGUUGUUUUCAUUUUAAAGUGAAUUAAGUUUUAUGUUGGAACUGUAUAUUCUCUCCCUCCAUUUUUGCAUUAGAUGACUAAGUAAGAGACUUUUUUAAAAGAAGGGACUUAAUUGGAUGAUCAACAUGUAAGUACAGGAAAGAAAAAAAAGACUAAUGGGUCUUUUCUCCAUAUACUUCAAAUUAGAUAAAAUUAAUAGCAGUAGGGUUUUUAAGUGAUUUCUCAGUGAUAUUGCCUAUAAAGGUAGAUACUUUUUUUAAUGAAGUUUUUCCUGGAAUCCUCUUCUAUUUGAUAUAUGAUGGAAUCAUUACUGCUUAUGUGAUUGGAUUUAAUUUCUGUUUGUUUAUUUUAUUUUAUUUUGUUGUUAUGGUAUUGUUCAAAAAGAGUAUUUCUGUGUGCCCCUAAUUAGCCUGGAAUUUUCUCUGUAGACAAGAUGGAUCCACAACUUUCAGCAAUCCUUCUUUUGCUCCUUCCAAGUGCUGGGCAUAGAAGUAAUUCACCAUGGCUGCGUUGUAUUAUGUUUCAUUUUCAGUAGGAACGUAGGUUAAUGUACAGUUGUUAAGCCAAAGUAUGAAUGUUUUCUAUGGAAUAACAUGCAGCACUAGGAAGGAGGCUUCAGUUACAUUCCAGAUUCUUUCCUCUGCUUACCUGGAGUCAUUUUCUCCAUUUCCCUGCCCAUCGGAGCUGUUCACAUCCCUUAGGCCUUCCUGUGAGGUUCAAAAGGAAUCUUGGUUGUGGAUGAUGUGUGUGCUGUAUACACAGGCACUUAGUGAAGGUGUGUUUUUAUCUCAUCCUGUGUACCUAUGGAUAAUACUUGUUAUAUGCAGACAUUAACAUUCUUCCAUUGCUACCUAUUGAGAUAGUUUUAGAUCUAGACAAUGCUUAAGAGAAAUAGCAAACAUACAGUAACAAAAUUAACAACAAAAUAUCAAAUCAAAUGUUGUCUCACCAUUGUCUCUGUUGAAAACUCUACACUCUGUAGAGCCCUGGUAUGUGAGUGAAGCCUGUAUAUCCUAGACCUUUGACUUCUAACAUUUUGGAUUAGAUAGAUCCUCUACUAUGACUCUGCAAGUAUUGCCAUGCUAGCAUCUUACUUUGAAUCAUGACAGCCAGACUAUUGUCACACAUUGCUAGUGUCCUCUGAUAGGAAAGGCAAGUCCAGUGGAAGACUACUAGAAUGUUUAAGUUACGGGUUAGAAGAAGUAGACAGCUGUCCAUAUAUGUAUGCCAGACAAGGUUUGAAAGAGAAAUCUUUUAUCAGAAGUAUGAAUGAACAUUCACUGGCUUGAGAAAUCAGCUAUGUCAGUUUGGAGCGGUAAAUUUUAGUUCUUUUAUUACCUGUGUAGUGAGAGCAAGAUUGUCUCAAGAGCUCAUGCUCCAGUGUUGUUGCCUGGAAUAUUGGAUCAUAUUGGACUCAGUGAGUUAACUGAUUUACAGUCUUAGACACUGUAAAAGUGCCAAAUAAAUGUCACUGUUGUUCACCAAUGAACUGUGUUAGAGUAUAUUUAAUUUAAUUAGUAUAUGGUUAUGUUUUAUUUUAAAGUUAGUUUUUAAAGUUAGUUUUGUCUCAACUCAAACCUUCCCAUCGCAUGCUCCUUAGAACAUGUUAAAAUUUGAUGCCAUUGGCUCCUGAACAUUGAAAGAGUAGACUGUGAUUUUGUUUUGCUUUGCUUUAUCUUGGUUUUUAGACAGUCUCAAAAUGUGGUCCAGGCUACUUCUGAACUCCCUGCCUUCUGGCAUUUUCCUCCCAAGUGCUGGGAUUAAACAUGAGCACCAGGACACCCAGCAGCCAUAUGCUGAUAGAAGUUUUGUCUGCAGUUUCACUGAGAAGCAAGCAAGGAUCAGCCCAGAUGGAGUGCUUAGAGCAAAGAAGUGGAGUACUGAUGGUGCACCUGGCACUUAACUCUCUGCACCUUUUCUCACCAAAGCAGCAGCAAAGCACAAACAGCUAGAGCUAUUGACCUCAGGGGUAGGUGAUGCUACCCUGGCAUCAAGCCAAAAACUCACCCAGGACUGACCACUGCAGGCAUGUAGGAACUCUCUGAUGAUAGUGUCAAUGAGUAGGUAGUCAUACUGUGUCCACAAAUGAUGCAUGUGUCAUCUGCAGAGUAAUUUGUGUGUUGGCAUAUCUACUUUCCCUCAAAAUAAGGAAAAGCAAACUUAUUCAUUUGGAAAAUGGAGUGUUUUAUAAUGGAAUUAUUUUACUUUUCCUUAGGCUUCCCUGUUGCUUUAGUUGUUAAUUUGACUCUUAAGUUGUUGGCAGUAAGAUCUGCCUUUGAGAUUCUAUCACAAAUAGAGCAAUGCACUUCGGUCAUCACAUGAGUACAACCUAUUUCCCAGUUCCUUUUUAAAAAAAAGGAAUCCUACUCCACAUGCUUUGGAGGUGUUAAGCCCUACAAGGUGCACUCGCUGUAUGGAAUGGAUGUGACACUGUUGUUAGGAUUCCUCCAGCAACCAACAAUUGACAUGUGGUGACCUGUUUUCUGGAGGGUGGAGGGUGACUCUUGACACGUAGAAACGUUGAAACUUAUAAGGAUCGUGAAGCUCAGAAGGUUAAAAUGUUCAUAUGGCCGCUUUCUAGGGUUGUGUUAGCAGUUACUUGAGAGGGGGCAACCUUGGUUGAGAUGCCUGUAGCAAGGGCAGAGGUCCCAGGGAUGCAGCUUGUGAGUAGUGAGCCUUGAUUUUUAGAUUGAUCUUUUCAAAUAUUAGGCUUCCUGAGGCUCACCGAACUCUGGAAGGAAUCCCAAUAAAUCUAUCAGUUCACUAAACUCUACUUAGGUGAAACCCCUUCUUUAGCAUAUUAUCUGUUCCAUACCUUGGUAAAUAAAUGUCUGCCCACAUCUCUAGAGGGAAAGUUAUAGAGCACAUCACUGUAAAAUGGAAUGCUUUACCAGCUGAAUAAGUAGCCUUAGCCCUACAUUUUUUGGGUCUUUCUGAUGUCUUUAUAUUACCAUAGAAGUGGUAUACUGUGUCACAGAAGUUUAUAUGCAGCCUUUUCCUGUGCAAGAAGCCCAUGGACAUACAACAUUAAAACUUAGUACAGAAUAUGUCAUAUGUCUUUUAGCCAGAGGUCCAUGAGUGUGCUUCUAGAAAAGGCUAUAUUAUAAAUAUUUUAGGACUUGUGGGCAUGGGGUCCCUGGAGCAACUCUUUUGCUCCUCUGUGGUAGAAAAAAAGGCAGCCGCAUUAUGCAUAAAUAAGUAUGUGUGUCUGCUUCAGUUUGGUCCUAGGCUCAUAGUGUGAUGACCUCUGCUUUUGGCUUUGCUCAUCAGGCAGGGAGAAGUUGAGCACAUCAGGAAAGGGCCUUGUUUAGCCUAGUGGGAUGAGCUAAGGGGAAGAGAAGGACUUGAUUGGCCUCUUUUGCAGUCUUCUUAGUUAAUAAUGUUUAUUGGGAGCAGAUUAAUUAGAAGGAAGUUCAAAGAGCAUAUCUCUUGGUAAACAGAAGAUGUUUAAUAGCACUUAACCUUUGGAAUUUAUGCAGAAAAAGAUUUGAAUGUUAUUAUGCUUUAUGUCUUUCGGGGGUGCUUCAGGUAUUUGGCUGUUAGUGCUACUUCAAUUGCAAGCUCCUGAAAAAUGAAUAAUUUAUCAGCUGUGGGAUAGUUCUCUUUGCACUGUGUGUCUGACAUUUGGAGCUCUGAACAUCUUAAAUAAAAGUGGAAGAAAGUGUUAGAAAGUGUUGUGCUUGCUGGGUAUGUGGUAAGAGCCCUGCAAAGAGACAGUUCGAUCAUGGGUAUUGAAGCCUGAUAUUGGUUUUCUAAAGGUAGGCGAGAGCAGGCAUAUCAUGGAGAGUUGUCCUCCUUGUGGGCACUCCUGCUGCAGAGGCCCCGUUCUGUUUCAAUGCUUUUUUGUCAAAAAGCUGAAGACAACGCUGGCAGAAAGGCACCAGUGAUCUUGAAGCCAGUGCAAAAGGUACAUAUCCAGGCUCCAUCACGUCAGAGAAUGGAAAGCAUUUGUGAGGCACUACUGGGGAGGGGGAUGUGCCAUGUACUGUAGUUGGAAUCUCUGACAAACAUGGGUGGAUGCAAAGCUUCAGCCAUUGUUGGUUCAUCCUGGCUGUUGGCAGAAGGUACCCAAUUCUACAGAGGUGUGAAGGUUAUAGCGACAUCCUCAUAAGGAUUGAGGUUUGCUCUAGUUGUGUGAAAAAGGAAGACUAAUUAGACUAAAUAAAAAUCCUGGCUGAAUAUGAAGGCAAAUGACUAAUGGGUAAGUCCAUUCAAGUGUGGAGUAAAGUCCCACAGGGAAACACUGAGAGCCUCACAGUGAGACUCAUUUGAAGGAUGCAGAAGAAACACCACUGUAGAGAGCUGAUGCCUGUGAAGUAAUCAGAGCAGCAUCAGCAAAAGCAAUAAAAAGAUGGUUUAACAAUUGUAAAAUAUAUAAUUCUUCUUUUAUUUUAAUUGUUCUGAUUUACAGAGAUGGAAACUGGAGGGGCAUGGGGACAAUUAUAAUAAAACAGUUACUCACAGUCUGGGAUCACUUUCCUCUAGAGUUUGCAGUUAGACAAAUGAAUCUGACACUAACACUAGGCAUGGAAUGGACUGGCUCACUUCCCUUUGGUCUGUGUCCUCAGCCCUGGGCUUUACGGCCUCACAAAUUUAAGUUGCUAACAGCUUACAUUUGUGUGUGUGUGUGUAUGUGUGUGUGUGUGUGUGUAUGUGUGUGUGUAUGUGUGUAUGUGUAUGUGUGUGUAUGUGUGUAUGUGUAUGUGUGUGUGUAUGUGUGUGUGUGUGUGUGUGUGUGUGUGUGUGUGUGUGUGUUUCUUUUUUCUUGGAAGAGUGCUUCCUGGUUUCCUAGAUUUGCCGCCAGUACUUCCCAUCAUUCCACAGUUCUGUCUUUUCAAAUCCUAAGUUUCUGUUUCCAGUCUCUCCUUUGCUCAGAUCAGUCUAUGCUUAUGUGCCCCAAGGAUAUGAGUAUAUAUAAGCAAGGAGCCAUUUCACUACUGUUAGACUUGGUAGUCGCAAUAAAAAGGCAGGUACCUUACAGGAAAUGGAGUGUUGCCUUAGAUACAGAGGGAGUGGUGCUGGAAGCAGAGUUUGUUGGGAUGCUGAGGAAGUGUCCGUGUGGUAAAGUCACAGGAUCCUUUUACUAUGGUAAAAUAGGAGAGCUUUAGAGUUUUGAAGUAGAUUUAUGUUCCAGUCUGCCGGCACUGUAGAACCAAAUAGAUAUCUAGGCAUGGACUGACCAAUGAAAUCAUGAUGGGUAGCCAAAAGGACCAAGCAUGGGAAAUGGGCUACCACUCAGUUCAUUUCUAAGUGCUAUCUAUCAAUAAGCGAUGGAAGCCAGUGAAAAUGGGGGACGGUGUGGUCCAGUUUUGGUGAGUGACUGCUGUGUGUAACAUUCAUCUCACAGUGGGGAGAUGGUUAUAAAAUCAGAUAGGAUAAGGGUCAUGGUAGCUAGAACUGAAGCUCUUGUUGUUAUAUGAAGAAGGGCCAUGUGCAAAUAGUCAGGAUUUAUAAUAAUUCGUUCUUGGUAAGUAUUGUCUAGCUAUAAAGAACAUACACAGGAAAGGAUGAGAAGUAGCUAAGGGAGAGCAUGUUUUUAGUUUCUUUCCAUUCUUGUCCAUUCCUCCACACAUUGGAUCAGAUUAAUGCGGGUUUUGUUGUCUCUCAUAGAGUUUGCUGUGGUUUGUUUCUGUUUCUGUCUAAAAUCCUCAUUUGUUAUGUUCAAGAUGACUAUGUCUCAUCUUAGUGUCUUGUCUGUUUCUCCUUGUCUCAAUAUGUAAGCCUUCAAUGUAGCUAUGGGUAGUAAAUUCAGAAGCCUAUGUUGACCAAACAAGAGAGAUUCAUUAUCAAAGCAAGCUGAUUCAACUUUGCACCAUUUAUACUAAUUCUAGAAGGGAGACAGCAGUCCUUUCUGGUCUAGUCCUCUGGAGAAUACAUGCUCAGAAUCUUUUGAUUUUUCCAAGGGAAGCCUGAAAUUCAGUUUUAUAGGUGAUCUAAACCACAUUUUAAUGUUUUUAGUGGAUUGAAAACCAUUAAGUAUGAAUAAUAUUGAAAUUAAAGGAUGUACUUCUUCACAAGAACAUAGGGGUCCCACAAAUUUGUAAAAUUCCAACAAAUAACAUUUCUCCUCUCCAGCAGUUUCUAGUCUUUCUUAUGCUUAAUGAGAGCAAAGCAGGUAAUGAGGCACCAGCACAUCCAUCAAGGCUGAGUGUGUGAAUCAAAAGUGGAAUGCCAUAGCCUUGCCUCCCACACUGUAAUAUAAACAUGGAAAGAUUCAGAGUACCUUACUGCAGUUAUAUGGAUAAUUAGAGCCAGUGUGGAUAUGGACUGAUAAAUUAUUCAUUCUUCCUUUCCUCACACCUUGUAUGUUCUAGUAAUGGCAGAUAUUCAGACCUGAAGUAGCCUCUGGUUGACCAAGGCUAGGGAUGGGGCUCCUCCUCCUUCCUCUGCCCCUAGACCAAAGUUAGCAUCAUGAUUAAAGCUGGGUUUCUGUUGGCGACUUCUCUGGAUACCCAGUGUAAAGUUUGAUGCACACAAAGCUGAAGGAACUCGCAUUUAAAAGUGGGCCCUUGAAGGUUCAUUGGUGUGUGGCUAAUAAGAUAUAUCUUUGAAAAUGGCUUUGUGAGUGUCCAAAGACUAAUAAAGAUUGGUGUUGAAACUUUUUCAGUAUCCACUAGGAUGGAGUUGACUCUAGAAUGUACCUUCUACUUUUCAGAAUUAAAUAGGCCAAAUGAAGCGAGAUCUUGGGGUGACUCUCACUAGUAAUAUUUGUGUGUGUGUGUGUUUGUGUGUGUGUGUGUGUGUGUCUGUUUAUGUGCCAUAUGUGAGUGCGCAUGUCUUUGCUGAUAAAUGUUUAUGGGUGUAUGUAGAUUUGUAGAGCCAAAGGACUACCUUGAGUAUUACUCUUAUCAUUCUUCAGGGGCCAUCCUUCCAUUUGUUUGUUUGUUUGUUUGUUCUUUGUUGUUGUUUUGAGACAGGGCCUGAAACUUAUCAAAUAGGCUAGACUGGCUGGAGAGAGUACACUAAGUGACUUCCUGUCAGUUUUAGGAUUAUGUACUCUGCUUUGUUUUAGGAAUAUCAAUCUUUACUAUUCUCUUUCAUAUUAAGAUGCUGUGAAUAACACAGCCUUGGCCUGGAUAGUGUCUUAUUAUAGGCAAUGCUAGCUAGUUUUAUGUCAACUUGACAAAAUCCAGAGUCAUUUGGGAAGAAGAAACUUUACUUAUGAAAGUGGUCCCCGCCAUAUUGGAUUGUGGGUAAAUCUGUGGUGCAUUCCCUAGAUUGAUGAGUGUUGUGAGACAGUUCAGACCCAAAAAGAGCAGGCUGAGAAAACCAACAAGCAGCAUUCCUCCAUGGCCUUCAAUUCCUAAGUUUUAAGUUCUGCCCUGCAUGAGUUCCUGUCCUGACUUCCCAGGAUGAUACACUACAACUUGUAAGGUAAAAUGAACCCUUUCUUUCCAACAUUGAUUUAUCCAUGGCACUUCAUCGUGACUAUAGAAACCCUAACUAUAACAUAGGUCCAUAGAUAUUUCUGAUUUUAUCAACAAAAUCUAUGGUAUGGUUAACAAAACAAAACCAACCAAAAUUAGCUUUAAAAUGGAAAGAUUUGAGCUUGUGUUGUGUUUUUCUAAUUACAGUAAGGAGGUCUUAGAUAUACUAUUCCUUUAUCCAACUACUAUGGGUUCUGUACUUUGUACUAGGAGCUUCUCUUUAGAUGCAGGAGAUUAUGUGUGUGAAGGAAGUGAAAAUAGUUGGGCUCGUGUGGACUAAUCGGCAUAUGCUCACCUGCAGGUAUAGCUGAGGUCCUUCGUCUGCAGUCGUUUCUUCAGAGUUAGCUGAGAUGUGGAAGACCUUGAUCUUCACUCAUAAUUGGCACAGAUAGCCGCAGCAUCUGCUCUGCCCUUGUUAUCAUGCUUGCAACUUCCAGCUUUGUUCUGUAUAAUCCACGAAGCUGUUUGCCCUCAGAACUCAGUUUGCACUUUGUCAUUCAUGGAUGUUGCUCAGGUCCUAAAGAUCAAUUGGAGCACUUCCCCUUUCCCCUUUCCAGGUGUUUUGUAUGACACAUUUCCUCAGUGACUUACUCUCUUCACAGAUCUCCACCAUUCUAGACUCUUUAGAUGUAUCAGAGACCAAGACAGCAACAAAAUAAAAAGAAAAAACCUACAUGUGAAGGUUACAUUUUAAAGAAUUUGAUACAAUGAGGUAAAGUGAUUAAUACAGUGUAGAAUCCAAGUUACAAAUAUAGGAAUCUGUAUAUGUUCAGAGGCAGGGGAACUCCCCCCUCCUCUUGUGGUGAUUCAAAUGAGAUCUGCUUCUGCCUUUUGAAUACUGGCAUGGCCAGCCUGAAUCACCACACCUGGUUUAUUUAGUGCUAGAGGUUAAACCCAGGGCGUCCUGCAUUCUAGGCAAGCACUCUACCUAGAUCUGUUCUGAGCCUCAGAUCUCUACUUGUGUUUUUUAAAUAUUUUGUUACUAGAUAAGAUUCUGCAAUAAUACUUAGCUCCAAUUAUUUGUUUCUUUUAAGGAUCUAAUUUGAAGGUGAGAGUUGCUCUAUGCUAAUUAAUCUGAGGCCUUUAAAAGAUGCAUUUAUUGAAGUUGAAAUAGUCAUGAACGAAACUUAUUUAGAAAAUGCCAAUUAUAUUCCUCAAUGUCUUAAUAAAUAUAUAUUGCAUUAAAAGGAGUACUUUGUAGUUAUACAGUGUAAUUAUAUGUUUGAACAAGCUAUCUCUAGAACUAAAUGAGUUUCAUUAACUACCAAGACAAUUAGUUUAUAUUUCUGUUGAAAUAUGUUAUUAUCAUAUAUACUUUUGGUAGUGAGUUCAUACAAUGUUUUACAAUGGUAUUUAACCACUUAAUCAAUUAUACUGAGUUUUAGUGCGAAACAAUAUUAGAGUCCCCUGAUUUGGCACUUUAGGUAUUGAACAUACACAUAAAGUUAAGAUAUUUUCACCUCAACCACUAAAUACAAAAUAGCAGAAGAGGUUUUAAAAGUUCCAGCUCCCCAAAGGAAUGUGAUUUUGUGUUCAAAUGCUUUAUCAUGUGUUGCUUGGUCCUUUGCCUACUUUACAUAGCUAGAGUAAUAUGGGAAAAGGAAAAUCCCAAUUGAGAAAAUUUCCCCAACUGUGUGGCAAGUAGGCAAGGCUCUGAGGUAUUUUCAUCAUUAAUAGUUGAUAUGGGAGGGCCCAGUUCACUGUGGUUGGUUUUACCCCUGGACAGGAGUUCCUGGGAACUUAACAAAACUGGCUAAGUAAGCCAUGGGGAGGAAGCCAGUAAACAGUAUUACUCCAUGGUGUCUACUUCCGGUUCUUGCUUCUAUGUUCCUUACUUGAGUUCCUGUCCGGUCUUUUCUCAGUGAUGGUCUGUGAGCUGUGAAACGAAAUGAACUCGUUCUUCUUGAGGCUGGUUUUGGUCAUAGUACCUUAUCACAGCAAUAGAAAGUAAACCUGAAACCAAGCUAGAGUUUUGUUUUUGGUUUUGUUGUUGUUGUUAAUUUUUUUAUUUAAUUUUUUUUACACUCCUGAUUUUAUUUCCCUCCAGGUUCACCCUCCAACUGUUCCACAUCCCAUACCUCGUUCCCACCCCUUGUCUCCACAAGGAUGUAUAACUAUCACCAGCUGAUAACGUCAGCUGCUGACUAACAAAAGUGUGUAGACACUUGCCUGGGGACACUAGGAGGACCAAACCUUUCAGACCUCUGCUUGUCUCUAGAGGGCCACACCUGCUUACCAAGGGUACUGUGGAGCAACUGAGAAGCUUUUCUGCUGCUAACUGUAAAGCGAAUGUCUGCCAAGAACUUAGAAAGUGUUCCUCUGAGGCUGCAUACAUUUGGUACCAUUUUGUCACUGUGAUGCUGAGUUUUAGAAGUGCAUUAUUAUGGAUUUAUUAUAAAGACAUAAUAAUAUAUCCUGAAGUGUGAUUUGUAUGAACAUAUGCAUACAGUGAGUCAGGACCCCGUUGGAGUUCACAUAAUGUAUAUUUUGCACAUCAGAUAUAUAUAUUGUGAUUCAUAAAGACAGCAAGAUUACAAUGAUGGAGUAGCAAUGAAAUAAUUUUAUGAUUGGGGAUCAGUACAGCAUGAGCAACUAUAUUAAAGGGUUGUAGCACUAAGAAGGUUGAGAACUGCUGUCCGAGAGCCCAGGGGAGCAUACAUUAUAGGCUUAGGAGUUACAUAGGAUGUCCUCAGAUAUCUGACCACAUCCAAUAAAACCUGUGCCUCCUUCAUAGUCAAGAAAGAUUUCAGAGUUCAUCACUUAACUCCUGCACCACAGGGUCUAAGCAGCCCCAUCCCUUUUCUUUUCUUUCCUUUUCUUUUCUUUCCUUUUCUUUUCUUUCCUUUUCUUUUCUUUUCUUUCCUUUUCUUUUCUUUUUCCAUCUUUAUUAACUUGAGUAUUUCUUAUCUACAUUUCAAUUGUUACUCCCCUUCCAGGUUUCUGGGCCAUCUCCCUAGCUGCUCCCCCUCCCCUCCUGUGUGGGUGUUCCCCUCCCCAUCCUCCCCCCAUUACCACCUUCCUCCCCAACAAUCACUUUCACUGGGGGUUCAGUCUUGGCAGGACCCAGGGCUCCCCCUUCCACUGGUGCUCUUACUAGGCUAUUCAUUGCUACCUAUGAGGUCAGAGUCCAGGGUCAGUCCAUGUAUAGUCUUUGGGUAGUGGCUUAGUCCCUGGAAGCUCUGGUUGGUUGGCAUUGUUGUUCAUAUGGGGUCUCAAGCCCCUUCAAGCUCUUUCAGUCCUUUCUAAGAUUCCUUCAAUGGGGGUCCCGUUCUCAGUUCCGUGGUUUGCUGCUGGCAUUCACCUAUGUAUUUGCUGUAUUCUGGCUGUGUCUCUCAAGAGAGAUCUACAUCCGGCUCCUGUCGGCCUGCACUUCUUUGCUUCAUCCAUCUUAUCUAGUUUGGUGGCUGUAUAUGUAUGGGCCACAUGUGGGGCAGGCUCUGAAUGGGUGUUCCUUCUGCCUCUGUUCUAUCUUCUCUUCAUUGCUUCCUGGCUUGCUAUUUUGUAACUGAAGUCAUCUUUACCCUUUCCUUCCCCUAUUGAUUCGUCUCUUUGGUUUUCUCUAGAGUAUACCUAGAUGAGGUCUCUUUUAAAUUAUUGUGUUAUUUUUGAAGUUACAAUUGUGCAUUUUGAGGUAUAUGUAUCUUGUAGAAUAUCUGAGCAGGCCCAGUGACACUAAACUAUCUGAUAUCAAUACCUUUUUUGAUUUGAAAACUUAAUUUCCAUUCUUGGCAUUCUAAAGAACACCAGAUAUUAUUCAGUAUUCUCAUUGUUUUACUGCAGACAUCUUCCUAUAAAUGUGAAUGUGUGUAAAUGAACCCGUCUUUCUUUCAAGUGAUGCCAAUCCAGUUUUACCUCCUUUCUGCUUUCUGCCCCAACUAUUAUACUCUUUAGCCAUGUGACGGUGUGAUUUUAGACUGUGUGAGUGAAUUAAGGCCCCUUGGUAUUGUUUCAGUGUCCUGGUUCUUGUCUUCAAGGUUACACCAUGUUAAUGUGAAGAGCAGAUUUCAUUCAUUUUGAUGACUAAAUAGCAUUUCUUGGUUCAUAUUAUCCAAAUGCCUUUGCCCAUUAAUAUAUUGAUAUACUUUAAGGUGAAUCACAUUUUGUGACUUCGACUAAUGAUGCUGGCCUAAACAGUAAUGUGGUGAUGUCUCUGCACCAUAUUGAAUUCCUUUCUUUUGGACUCGCCAGAUCAUAAAGUACUUCUAUUUUUCUGCUGUGCUUGAUGAACUUAUCCACUGUUUUCCAUGAUGACUGUGCUCAUUUCUAUCCCUACUAAUGUUGCGCAUGGGUCCCUUGAACUCCACAUACUUGUCAACACGUGUUCUCUUCUAUCUGCUUGGUAACAGCAGCUCUAACAGGUGGGAAGUGAUGCUGCAUGACUUAUGUGCACAUCGCCUGACACAGAGCUGGCUGUCAGUUACUGACUGGCUGAAUGGGGAACAGGUGUGGAUUUCACAUAGCUUAACACAUGUAUUUUUCUUAGGCAGAGGCGCCUCUUAAGGCUCCCAGAGUAUAAUCAGUUAUUCUGCCUGGUUCAAGGUGGCUUCAUACAUAAGGUGUAAAAUCUUAGCACUGCAAUCUGUGGGCAAUUUAGUACUGUGGGCACUGCACGAAGAGUCCUGUUCAAGGACUCAGUGUUGUCCUAAGAAAGUUUGGUUCCUAACUUACAGCUCUAUGGACAGGGGUAGCGCCUUUAGCGUGUGGGACGUGUUGGAAUGAAGAUGGGUCACUGGGGAUUAUUAGGAUGCCACUCUACACCUUAUCUCCCAGAUAACACAAUUGAACAAUUUUGCCCUUUCCUGAGGCUCCACCUCACCCAGUGCUAGAAAAAGAGGGUUUUUAGCAUCCUCCACAGAGAAAAGCCAUGAGCCAAAAAAAAAAAAUCCUGUUCUUCUCUUAAGUUGGUUUUUACAGGUAACUUGUCUGGUACAGAACUCUGAGUAGCACAAAAAGCAAGUAACAGCUAGUAUAACCAAUGCAAAAGCUGAGGGAGAUGUGAGGUGAAAGAUAUGAAUGCUGUAAUAUGUGUCUCAUGAUGGUGGCGCUGAUGAUUCAUGAAUUAUAUUAUUAUUGGUGUUAUAGUACUAAUAUUAUUUUGAGACUAUGAUUAAACAACCUUGUCUCUGUGAGGAAGACCCAGACCACAGACUUUCCGAAGUUGGAUUUAGCAGUUUGGUCCUUCUUUCUGAGUCUGGGGCUUGCUUAUUAUGUGACACAUCCUAUAUGACCUGAGCCUAGAAAUCUGACAAAAACGCGCAGGUUAUGUUGGCUCUGCUGACUCUGCUGGGGCAGCACCAACCGAGAAGCAAGCUGGAACCUCAGCUUCUGUUACCUUUAGGACAGAGGGGAGAAGUCCGCCAAUGCAGGUAGGCGGGCUCUGUAGGUGCGUACUCUUAGACUGUCCUCAGAGGAAGUUGUCGUUACUAGUUAGUGCAAAUACUGUUCAAAUCCUUCCAGACUUCCUCGGCUCCCCACACUUCUCUGUCCUGAUUUCUUAUGCAAUCUGAAUGUCUCAGUCUGUGUAAUAAAAAAAAAAAAUACUGCUGUCUGGUGGAAUUUGAAAGAGACUUUAUAGUCUCCCGUGCUUACUUUGAAGUAACUUAAAUCAUAGAAACCAGGUGACCAUAGGGACACAUUGCUGUCUUUGGCCAUUGAUUGCUUUAGAGAGACAUGAUUUGGUUUAAAACCUGCAGUUCUCGCUAUCUCCUGCCUAUCCUGUAACACAGCUCCUAUGGCCAGAGAAUUAUUCAACUAACCACGCAGGCUUCUUGAAGGCAGAGAGGGGCCAGAUCACCUGUAACUUGCUCCCACCUAUUUUACUGCAGCAGCUAAAGAAAAUGCCAAAAAUCAAAAGAAGUCUUUCAGGCCCUCGGUUCAAAAUAGAAAGUCUGGACAAAGCUAAUUGAUUUUAGGCUCACUGUUGUUCAUUAUCUUAAUUAGUCUAGGCAAUUAAAACAUUAAUUGAUUGGAGUUGAUCCCUUGCUAACAAACAGUAAAACUGCUUUUUGGCUUGAUUCUCUAAGAAGUACUGUUUCAUGUAUCCAUGCUCUUCUUCAGCUGAGGCAUCUACACUGUGAAGAAGUGUCCUUUUAUUCCGUCCAUCCCAUGGGAACUGUGGCGUAGGAAUGUUCUGCUCUCUUGACAUAGAACUGUAGCUACUGCAGUCCAUCAACAAUAUCAGUGCAAUCCGAACCUGGCUACGGUUGCUUAACACUGUCUGCUAAAGCGAGCAGCUGCAGCGUCUCCAGUGACAAGCUGGACUUGGCAGUGGGCUUCCCUAGGCUGCUGUGCUUUGCUUGGGUACUUCUGUGAAACUGACGGAUUGUUCCUGCGGGGCAUGUGUUCGUAUAACUCACACCUUGGGAUUGUAUUUUCUUUCUCAGGUUCAAAGCCUUGUAUAAUCACUGCUUCCUAACUAAAUGAAGUGCUUUGGAAACUGCAGAGUCCCCUUGAGUCUGAGAAAGGGAUGGGGGAGGGGCAGGCUUGGAGGGCUCCAGGUAGAUCUUGUAACUUUAUUAGGAGGGGCUGUGGAAGAGCUAGUUCAAGUGUGAAAAUCUCUUUAAGAAUGAACUACUAAUCCAAUAAUUACAGUAUUCUAAUCAGACUAAUGAUGCAGAAGAAAGGCAGCAAGGGCUUGCUUUAACAGGAAAAAUAAGUAAAGCUCCCUGAAAAUCCUGGUGUAUUUUAUUUCAGAAGAAUUUCUGCAAUAAGUUGGUUGAUCUCUUAGAUGUGAGGCUUGCCUUUUUCAUUUGAUGCUAUCUUUUAUUAGGUGCCCCUAGAAAAUAAUCAUGGAAAUAAUGAAAUUCUCGAUUGGCAAUUGGCUUUUAGCUUUCUUUUUGGUCAGUUUGAGUACUUUGUAUUUCAAGUUGAUACAACAGCCUAGCAGUCAGAGCACAGUAAGAUUGAAAUGGACAUCGGCCUUGGCAGUGACACACUGGUGACACUGUGCGGCAUAGUCAGCCUCUUUGUUGUUAUUGACAUGGCUGUGAUGACUCUACUCAGAAUAAAGUUCAGAAAACAAAUGUAAAUCCUAGAUAUUAUUAUUUAGUAAUUUAGAGACUUAUGCUUAUUGUAUCUCCAGUACUUAGUUAUGGCUGCUGUCUCAUCUAAGAAAAAGAAUUAUAUUUAUUUUAUAAUUAUAAAGAUAUCUUCUGUAUAGAUGCACAUAUACCAUCCUGAGAAAUGUUCACUAUGAGCAGGAUGAGUGAUCCUUCUUUGCUCUCAAUGUAGAAGUGUUUAAUUGCUCUCUAGUCUGGGAAGAACAUGGGUCUUUCCUAUUUAUAAUUUGCUACUGAUUUCUUUCAUUCUUUUUGUACUAGAAAUGCUGAUGCAAAAGUGAAA
Molecule: non-coding RNA, 23743 nt
Organism: Rattus norvegicus (Norway rat)
Lineage: Eukaryota; Metazoa; Chordata; Mammalia; Rodentia; Muridae
Source: RefSeq, a predicted model, not a curated record